Long non-coding RNA from Acanthopagrus latus (yellowfin seabream), 591 nucleotides. RefSeq lists it as uncharacterized. Lineage: Eukaryota; Metazoa; Chordata; Actinopteri; Spariformes; Sparidae. The record is from RefSeq and is a predicted model, not a curated record. The transcript has 3 exons.
CCAUGGGGUCCAUCUUGUACUUGUCUGGGAAAGCUCUGCUAAGUGCGAGAUGGCGGGCGUGUAUGUAAAACUGCAAAUCACAAGUCAGAGGUGUACAUCAAAAACAAUUUUACUGAACGUCUGACACAUUUUUCUCCCGUGUUUGAGGUUUUCAGAAUUCUAUUACAAACUGCAACAAAACAUACAGACAGAAGAGUUGGAUUAGUGGCAGGAGAGAAUAUACUAAACAAGACUUCUUGUGUCUGCGCUAAAUUCACACCCACUAUUUGGCUCUGGUGCAGCAGAAACACACCCGUCCCAGGUAUCUCCAGUCCAGCAGGUCAGACAGCCUCUCAGUUCUGUUACGCUGGAUGAUGCGCUGGCGCCGAGACUGCUGGCAGAAACUGAACAUGAACUGGGUGAGCUGGUUACAGGACUCCUCAGCUGAACGGAACCGCCGGUCCACAAUCGGCAGGGUCGGACACAUGCUCCUCCAUGAAGCAGCCGAAUCCUGACAGGUUGGUGGUCACACUGGGAAUGCCCAUCACAGUACAUUCACCUGGGGAAGAACAACACAGCAAAGAAAAGCUACAAUAAAUUUGUUGUCAUGUG